RNAcentral lists this ribosomal RNA (821 nucleotides) under uncultured Pseudomonadota bacterium. Its description in RNAcentral is "bacterial SSU rRNA". It matches the Rfam family "Bacterial small subunit ribosomal RNA", at positions 70 to 868 of the family's 1533-position model. The record is from RNAcentral. Lineage: Bacteria; Pseudomonadati; Pseudomonadota.
AAAGUUCCCUUCGGGGAGCGAGUAGAGUGGCGCACGGGUGAGUAACACGUAGGUAAUCUACCUUUGGAUUGGGAAUAACAACCGGAAACGGUUGCUAAUACCGAAUAAUGCAGCGGCACCUAAUGGUGACAGUUGUUAAAGCGGGGGAUCGCAAGACCUCGCGUCUAAAGAGGAGCCUGCGGCGGAUUAGCUAGUUGGUAAGGUAAUGGCUUACCAAGGCUAUGAUCCGUAGCCGGCCUGAGAGGGCGGUCGGCCACACUGACACUGACAUACGGGUCAGACUCCUACGGGAGGCAGCAGUCGGGAAUUUUGGGCAAUGGGCGAAAGCCUGACCCAGCAACGCCGCGUGAAGGAUGAAAUCCUUCGGGAUGUAAACUUCGCAAGAACGGGAAGAAUAAGUAAGAGCUAACAUCUCUUAUGAUGACGGUACUGUUUGUAAGCUCCGGCUAACUCCGUGCCAGCAGCCGCGGUAAUACGGGGGGAGCAAGCGUUGUUCGGAUUUACUGGGCGUAAAGGGCGCGUAGGCGGCCACCGCAAGUCGAUUGUGAAAUCUCCGGGCUUAACCCGGAAAGGUCAACCGAUACUGCGGGGCUAGAGUGCAGAAGGGGCAACUGGAAUUCUCGGUGUAGCGGUGAAAUGCGUAGAUAUCGAGAGGAACACCUGCGGCGAAGGCGGGUUGCUGGGCUGACACUGACGCUGAAGUGCGAAAGCUAGGGGAGCGAACGGGAUUAGAUACCCCGGUAGUCCUAGCCUUAAACGAUGAAUGCUUGGUGUCUGGGGUUUUAUAGUCCCCGGGUGCCGUCGCUAACGCUUUAAGCAUU